Molecule: long non-coding RNA, 891 nt
Organism: Mytilus trossulus (common blue mussel)
Lineage: Eukaryota; Metazoa; Mollusca; Bivalvia; Mytilida; Mytilidae
Exons: 4
Source: RefSeq, a predicted model, not a curated record
GACAGGCUGAUCACUGAUCUUCAAAAAGUGAAACCAAAUGAAAUUUAGUAAAACAGUUAUUAAUAUUUGAAAAACAGAUUGACUUGUGUACACUGAGGUACCAUAUUUAGGAAGCACUUCAAGUCAACAGACAUCUGGUAAAGUAAAGAAAAAACAGAGAAAAUCCUUGACAGUUGAAAGUGACACAGAGAUAGAUGAACCAGUGGUAACAACAACCAGUAAAAUUGCUAAAAGAUCAAGACGCAAAUGUUCUGGACCAAAAUUUGUAGGGAGAGAAAUAGUACAUGAAUGGGUGGAGGAAAACAGCAACAGAAAGUGGUAUAAGGGCAGGGUUAUUUCUGUUAUCAAGAAUAAAGAUGGAGACAAAGAUGCUGUAUAUGAAGUUCUAUAUGAAGACUGUGAUGAACCUUAUGAGAUUGAUCAUUUGCUAGAGGAUUUUACAAAUUCCUCUUUGAAAUUGAUUGAUUUAUAGAUUUUUAGAAGACAGAAGAUAUACAGGGCAUUUUUUCUACAAAAGGACUUACAUUUGGUAUUAUAUUACUUUUAUUUGACAUUUUAUAUUUAAAUAAAUGUGACAUUAUGAUAGUAAUGACCAUGACGAACACAUUGAUAUGUAAUAAGUCAUAAAUUGUUGGGCAGAAAUAUUUUUAAAUAUUUGUUUUUUGUUUUUUCAAAAGUUUGUUAUGAUGAACCUUAAUCAUUGUUCCGUAUCAAUGUACUUGUAAUUAAAAAGAGUUUGUCGAUCGGUAGUACGAUCAUGUCUGUUUCAAUUAUUUCCUAAAGAUCCGUAAAACUGUGUAUGGGUUUGUUAUUUUCUUUUUUCGGUAAAACAACUGUACGAUUGACAAGAGAUAACGACACUGUUAGUCCCUGGUUGUUUGUGCUACUUUG